Molecule: ribosomal RNA, 491 nt
Filed under: uncultured bacterium
Lineage: Bacteria
Description: partial 16S ribosomal RNA
Rfam family: Bacterial small subunit ribosomal RNA
Source: RNAcentral
AGUGAACGCUGGCGGUAGGCCUAACACAUGCAAGUCGAACGGCAGCACAGUAAGAGCUUGCUCUUACGGGUGGCGAGUGGCGGACGGGUGAGGAAUACAUCGGAAUCUACUUUUUCGUGGGGGAUAACGUAGGGAACUUACGCUAAUACCGCAUACGACCUACGGGUGAAAGUAGGGGAUCUUCGGACCUUGCGCGAUUGAAUGAGCCGAUGUCGGAUUAGCUAGUUGGCGGGGUAAAGGCCCACCAAGGCGACGAUCCGUAGCUGGUCUGAGAGGAUGAUCAGCCACACUGGAACUGAGACACGGUCCAGACUCCUACGGGAGGCAGCAGUGGGGAAUAUUGGACAAUGGGCGCAAGCCUGAUCCAGCCAUACCGCGUGGGUGAAGAAGGCCUUCGGGUUGUAAAGCCCUUUUGUUGGGAAAGAAAAGCAGCAGGUUAAUACCCCGCUGUUCUGACGGUACCCAAAGAAUAAGCACCGGCUAACUUCGUG